This 451-nucleotide ribosomal RNA is filed under the name uncultured bacterium. RNAcentral describes it as "partial 16S ribosomal RNA". It matches the Rfam family "Bacterial small subunit ribosomal RNA", at positions 29 to 523 of the family's 1533-position model. The record is from RNAcentral.
AACGAACGCUGGCGGCAGGCUUAACACAUGCAAGUCGAACGGGUGUAGCAAUACAUCAGUGGCAGACGGGUGAGUAACACGUGGGAACCUUCCUAGGGGUACGGAACAACUCAGGGAAACUUGAGCUAAUACCGUAUACGUCCGUGAGGAGAAAGAUUUAUCGCCCUUAGACGGGCCCGCGUCGGAUUAGCUAGUUGGUGGGGUAACGGCCUACCAAGGCGACGAUCCGUAGCUGAUCUUAGAGGAUGAUCAGCCACACUGGGACUGAGACACGGCCCAGACUCCUACGGGAGGCAGCAGUGGGGAAUCUUGGACAAUGGGCGCAAGCCCGAUCCAGCCAUGCCGCGUGAGUGAAGAAGGUCUUCGGAUUGUAAAGCUCUUUUGCCAGGGACGAUGAUGACGGUACCUGGAGAAUAAGCCCCGGCAAACUUCGUGCCAGCAGCCGCCGUAA